This 1245-nucleotide ribosomal RNA is filed under the name metagenome. RNAcentral describes it as "bacterial LSU rRNA". It matches the Rfam family "Bacterial large subunit ribosomal RNA", at positions 1564 to 2818 of the family's 2925-position model. The record is from RNAcentral.
UGAAUACGAGAUGCUACGGCGUCGAAGCAGUCUAUGUCAUACUUCCAAGAAAAGCUUGCACUGUCAUAAACAAAUAAUGCCUGUACCAUAACCGACACAGGUGGGUAGGUAGAGUAUACUAAGGGGCGCGAGAUAACUCUCUCUAAGGAACUCGGCAAAAUGACUCCGUAACUUCGGGAGAAGGAGUGCCUUAUUUUAUAAGGUUGCAAUAACAAGAUCCAAGCAACUGUUUACCAAAAACACAGGUCUCCGCUAAGUCGUAAGACGAUGUAUGGGGGCUGACGCCUGCCCAGUGCCAGAAGGUUAAAGAAGUUGGUUAGCAUCCGCGAAGCUGAUAACUGAAGCCCUGGUGAACGGCGGCCGUAACAAUAACGGUCCUAAGGUAGCGAAAUUCCUUGUCGGGUAAGUUCCGACCCGCACGAAAGGCGUAAUGAUUUGGAUACUGUCUCAGAGAGGGGCUCGGUGAAAUAGACUUGUCUGUGAAGAUGCGGACUACCUGCACCAGGACAGAAAGACCCUAUGAAGCUUUACUGUAACUUGAAAUUGAAAUUGGACUUUACUUGCGCAGUAUAGGUGGGAGGCGUUGAGAAUAUUCUUGCGGGAAUGUUGGAGCCAUCAGUGAGAUACCACUCUUGUAAUGUUAGAUUUCUAACUUUGUAUCAUUAUCUGGUCAAGGGACAGUUUCAGGCGGGCAGUUUGACUGGGGCGGUCGCCUCCCAAACGGUAACGGAGGCGCACAAAGGUUUCCUCUGAACGGGUAGAAAUCGUAUCUAGAGUGUAAAGGCAUAAGGAAGCUUGACUGUGAGACCUACAAGUCGAGCAGGGACGAAAGUCGGUCUUAGUGAUCUGACGGUGCUGAGUGGAAAGGCCGUCACUCAACGGAUAAAAGUUACUCUAGGAUAACAGGCUGAUCUCCCCCAAGAGUUCACAUCGACGGGGAGGUUUGGCACCUCGAUGUCGGCUCAUCGCAUCCUGGGGCGGUAGUACGUCCCAAGGGUUGGGCUGUUCGCCCAUGAAAGCGGUACGCGAGCUGGGUUCAGAACGUCGUGAGACAGUUCGGUCCAUAUCCGGUGUAGGCGUUAGAAUAUUGAGAGGAGCCUUCUUUAGUACGAGAGGACCGAGAAGGACAUACCUCUGGUGUACCAGUUAUCGUGCCAACGGUAAACGCUGGGUAGCUAUGUAUGGAGUGGAUAACCGCUGAAAGCAUCUAAGUGGGAAGCCCACCUCAAGAUAAGUAUUCUCACC